This 328-nucleotide ribosomal RNA is filed under the name uncultured eukaryote. RNAcentral's name for it is "partial 18S ribosomal RNA". It matches the Rfam family "Eukaryotic small subunit ribosomal RNA", at positions 1470 to 1796 of the family's 1831-position model. The record is from RNAcentral.
CCCUUAGAUGUCCUGGGCCGCACGCGCGUUACACUGAUGCAUUCAACGAGCUUAUAACCUUGGCCGAGAGGCCUUGGCAAUCUUGUUAACGUGCAUCGUGAUAGGGAUAGAUUAUUGAAAUUAUUAAUCUUGAACGAGGAAUUCCUAGUAAACGCAGAUCAUCAAUCUGCAUUGAUUACGUCCCUGCCCUUUGUACACACCGCCCGUCGCACCUACCGAUUGGAUGGUCCGGUGAAGCCUCGGGAUUGUGGUUCUUGCCGCUUUAUUGUGGCGUGACCGCGAGAACUUGUCUAAACCUUAUCAUCUAGAGGAAGGUGAAGUCGUAACA